UAUCUCUGUAGAGUCUGCAUAUCAAUAAGCGGAGGAAAAGAAACUAACUAGGAUUCCCUCAGUAACGGCGAGUGAAGCGGGAAGAGCUCAAAUUUGAAAUCUUCAAGGGUUCUACCUUUACGAAUUGUAGUUUAAAGGAAGUGUUUUCUGUUGAGGUUUUGGUAAAAGUUCUUUGGAAUAGGACAUCAUAGAGGGUGAGAAUCCCGUAUUUGACCAUUACUUCCAGCGUUGUGAUACACUUUCAAAGAGUCGGAUUGUUUGGGAAUGCAGUCCAAAAUGGGUGGUAAAUUUCAUCUAAAGCUAAAUAUUGGCGAGAGACCGAUAGCGAACAAGUACCGUGAGGGAAAGAUGAAAAGAACUUUGAAAAGAGAGUUAAACAGUACGUGAAAUUGUCAAAAGGGAAGCGUUUGACACCAGUGUUGUUUUCUCGAAAAUCAAUUAAAAAAAGUUGGAUUUUGUAUUGUUAAGACCUUAUCAGCUUACUGUACUCUUUUCUUGCUUUUUUUAAUGCACUUUUCGUUUAACAAGUCAACAUCAAUUUCUUUUGUUGUAAAAGAGUCAUUGGAAGGUGGCUUUCUUUUCGGAGAAAGUGUUUAUAGCCUUUGGCCUCUGCAAUCGGAGAGAUUGAGGUCUGCAGCGUAGAUCCUUCGGGGUUAGAUACAUUUGUGCUAAGUUAUAGCCUUUCAUAGACAACUUGUUGACUAUGGUCAGUCAUGUAGCUUACUCGCUUAUGCUAUUUUACCUACGCUUAGGAUGUUGACGAUCAGCUGAGCGCG
This 776-nucleotide ribosomal RNA is filed under the name uncultured Neocallimastigales. Its description in RNAcentral is "partial large subunit ribosomal RNA". It matches the Rfam family "Eukaryotic large subunit ribosomal RNA", at positions 24 to 634 of the family's 3401-position model. The record is from RNAcentral. Lineage: Eukaryota; Fungi; Neocallimastigomycota; Neocallimastigomycetes; Neocallimastigales.